Molecule: small RNA, 391 nt
Filed under: Caenorhabditis elegans
Lineage: Eukaryota; Metazoa; Nematoda; Chromadorea; Rhabditida; Rhabditidae
Description: Unclassified non-coding RNA T07C4.14
Source: RNAcentral
GUUAUCCAAACCAACAACCAUCCUACGGAGGAUACGGUCAACCACCUCAACAGCCAGGCUAUGGAAACGGUAGCUACGACCCAUAUGGCCAACCCCAGCAACAACCGUAUCCCGGCGGUGGAGGUCAGCCACCGUACCCCGGCUCCAACUCCAAUCAAGGAGGUGGCGGCUACCCAGGACAAGGUGGUGCUCCAUACCCUGGAGGUAGUGGCGGAUACCCUCAGGCUCCUCAAUACGGAUUCUCCGGUGGUCAGGGCUCUGCCCCGCAGCCAAAUCAAGGCGGCUACCCACCCCAACAACAACAGUACCCUCCACAGCAAGGAUAUCAGCAGGGAGGUCAGCAGCAAGGUGGUGGUGGAUUUUUCCCGAAUCAAGGAUAUGGUCAACCAGG